GGUUACGUCACGAAAUGUUACGUUUGCUCAAAACAUUGCUGCACGUACCCCAAAUGCGAGUGCGAUUUGCUCGAUUGUGACUGUUAUUGGGCCAGAAGAUACAACUUUGGCAGAUAAAGCAUGAUUCAUUUCAGUAAAAAGGUUCAAGAUAUCAUCGUUUCUUUGGUUCUUACAAUUGUUGUCUUGGCUGUGUGGGCCCACGUCAUCAUCGCCGGGAGAAUCGCUGCCCUGAGGGUGUAUCCAGCUUUGGGUCAGCCACCUGCCUGAGCUGAGCCUGGGUAACGAUGUGAACGGAAAAACGAUCCUGCUCGGAAGUGACGAAGCGGCAAAGAAUGCUACUGGGCAUCAUCUUGCUUGGAGAAGUCUGGUACAUGUAGGCACGGAAAUAGGUGAACAGAGAAAGUGAACCAGUGCAGUGGACGUGAACAUCACUCCAUGUACUCGCAAAGCCCCGUCAUUUGUUUGAGCGUUGAGUCCAUACCACAGUCAUGGGAUGCUUGAUAAAUAAUUCAAGAAGGGAGCAAACUGAGUUGUGACACCAGUGAUUGGCUCAUCGGGGCAGGAUUCCUCAUGGAAGGCACCGAUACUUCAUACUUCACCCGUCCCACUGCAGAGCUAAUUUUCUUUCACCCUCAUCGAAAUACAAGUCUCUUUAAUAAUAGCAUUCCAGUGACUUAGCAUCAGGACUGCUAGGCCUGCAACUUCUGAAUUAUUGUAAAAUGUCUUCAUUUAGGGACACAAUCUCAAAAGUUCCCCUGGCAAGAUCUGACCAUCAAACACCAAAGGUUUGACUAGGAAGAGCAGUAUAAUUCUCAAGUUACAUUUGUACUCACCAUGACUGUAUCGUAUAGGAGAGCUUAACACAGAAAUUGUACAGUGACCAUGCGGAUAUCAUUCAGAGACCCCACAGCUUCAAUAGUCAUGGUCUACUUAUUCUCCUAAUUUAAGCAAUUUUUUUUCCUGUGCUGUUGGUCUUUUUUUAUUGGUGACAACCCUGGCAUAUUCUUCUUAAGAUGUAAUUGAAAUUUAAGUACAUGUAUAUACCCACCCUAACAGCAGGUGUUUUUCUUUUGUUUGCUGUUUUGGCUUCUAUUGUUUGUGCACAUUUACAUGAAGUUCAUAAUUAGUUGUUUUUAGGAAGGUUGGUACCACACUUCCCUGUCGUAUACAUCAUAUGGGGGGGGUCAAAUAUCCUGUUGGCUUCCCAGCUUGUCAAAUAAUGGCAUUGUAGACUUCUCCCCAAUUUCAAUUGCAUUUUCUCCGUUUUGUCCUGAGGGGCAGGGUGAUAAACUUUGGCAGCCUUCAUUAUGGGGGAAUGCCCUGUUGUUGCUUGCAAACUAACAAGAAGUCGUAGAACAAAAGUACAGUAAACCCAUUCAGUUAAAGUACUGUACAUGUACUGUGAACACAUAUUCAGUACAAGAACAGGUUGUUGGCCUAAUGAGCCGAGACGAUUUACCGUCUAACAUGAAGAGAUUUUUAAUGCCUUUUUGUGUAGCGCCCUCUAUGUGAGACACGGGGGCAGCGCUGACCCGGGAUGGUCUUUUGUGGUGUUGUCGAGUGAGCGAAACGGUGGGGUGGAAGCCCAUGAAGCUGAAGGAGCGUGUCUCCACGACCUAGGUCUAUGACAUGACCUUGGCGCUCUCAGAGGCUGGGUUUUGAAUUUCCGGCGUGCCCCUUUAUCGAAGGAAUGGGCGCGGUGCGUGAUAGUUUUGAACUGGAUACUAGACGGUUAUUGACAAGGUGGUGGACCUUCAGAGAGCAUCCAGUGUAAUGAUCAUCACCACUGAUCUACCGUGAUUUAUAAGCACAUUAAUAGGUUGCAGUUACAAGACAUCGUUACAGUUGUGGGCCAGGAUUCUUCAUUCUUUAUUUUUGCGAAAGUCUGCAAAGCUACAAUUUCGAUCAUAGGCUACGUUGUCUUUCCUCAAAGCUCUACAGUAGAUUGCCAGCAUAACGUUGCGGAAGUCGCUUUUCGAUUAUCCAUUCAGGUGUUUUCGUACAUUACUUUGGUACAUGUAAUAAAAUACUUCGAGAAAAAUGUUUCACUUUUAACACAGGUGACAGAUCUGAAAACUGAAAAGUCAGUUUGUGUCUGUUGGUCAGCUUCAAGUUUGAGUUGGGAGUGAGGUGGUUGUGGCCUCUUACACGAUUUGUAUUCCAGAAGCAACAAGCCGGAGCAGUUUUACCGAGGUUUUUCAAGCAGUCUGAAUUCAUCAUGGAAAAUGAUCAAGGCCGGCGGGUCACACGGUUUCGAUACAAAACGUCGUUUUCUACAGUGUUUCAUGGCAUAAAAUCAUUUUUUUGGGUAUGUACAACCCUUUUAUUAUGGAAAGCCCACUUGAAACUUUGUCUUGAUUAGGAGAACAGACAUUGUUCCCGGCGAUGAAAUCUUAAAAAAGUUUUUCACGUGAAUAGAAA
Long non-coding RNA from Acanthaster planci (crown-of-thorns starfish), 2421 nucleotides. RefSeq lists it as uncharacterized. NCBI's taxonomy places the organism in Eukaryota, Metazoa, Echinodermata, Asteroidea, Valvatida, Acanthasteridae. The record is from RefSeq and is a predicted model, not a curated record.